This is a non-coding RNA of Paramuricea clavata, 996 nucleotides long. The record is from the annotation of a GenBank genome assembly. NCBI's taxonomy places the organism in Eukaryota, Metazoa, Cnidaria, Anthozoa, Malacalcyonacea, Plexauridae.
UAAGGGACCGCUCAUUAUUUAUUGUACAGGGGGGGACUGAGGAGAAACUCUACAGUUAUAAAAUUUUUUCGUUGCCCCCCUCUUAAGACAAGUAAAAUUUUCAAAGCCCCCCCCCCCACAGGCAAAACAAGAACAUAAAUUUUGCCUCCCCCCCCUCUAGCUCUUUAUCUUUAUUUAAAGAAACAAAAACUCUAGCUGUUUAUUUUAGAGAAAGAAAAAUAGGUAAUGGGGACCAAUAGACAUUCCCAUUAUAGACUAAUUUUUUAUCUUAGCAAAAAAAGUAUAUUCCCGGGAAGGGCAUACUAAAAUUAGUCAAAUUCCAAAGUUUGGUUGCAAAAUGUUGUAAAAUAUGUAGAAAAUAUAGCCUUCCAAAGUUUGCAAAUUUUGUAUUCUUUUGUAUAAUUGCAAUUUUCGCAUGCAAUACAAAAGUGUACAAAAUUUGCAAACUUUGCAAGGCUAUAUUUUCCGUAUUUUGCAACAAUUCGCAACCAAACUUUGCAAUAAUUUACUUAUUUUAAUAUGCUCUUUCCAGCUGUGGUGAUUUAUUUGCAUCAAGGCCGGAUUUUGAGGGAAGUGUGGAGAGGUGCGCACCUCCCCAGAGAUCGUUUUGCACCUCCCCUGAGAAUUUUUCCACCUCUCUUGAAAGGUCAUGCACUUCCCCUUGGGAAAGUUUCAAUGAUGGAACAAAGUGAAAAUGUGAUGGUUGCUUAGGAUCUACACUUUGUGACGUAAGAAAGUUUUCUCUGUAAAAUUGAAACAGUGAUAGCCAUGUCAAGUACCCUUUUAAUGCAAUGUUUUGAAAGAAACAGUGUAGCAAUUGCAAUGAAGGGCAAGAUUGGAGUCAUACAUUCAUAAUUCAUUAAUACACUGGUACAUAUUAUGUACACUACAUGCAUACCUCACCUCGUUGAUAUUGGCCUGUUCUACAAUAAGCCCUAACUUUCCAUGGGAGUUGUGAGCUAGACCGCUGCACCUCUCCUAAAAUUUUUGUCCACC